This 887-nucleotide ribosomal RNA is filed under the name uncultured bacterium. RNAcentral's name for it is "bacterial SSU rRNA". It matches the Rfam family "Bacterial small subunit ribosomal RNA", at positions 78 to 965 of the family's 1533-position model. The record is from RNAcentral.
GCUUGCUAUUCGCCGACGACCGGCGCACGGGUGCGGAACGCGUAUGGAACCUGCCCCUGUCAGGGGAAUAGCCCAGAGAAAUUUGGAUUAAUGCCCCAUGGUAUCGAAUCACUGCAUGGUGAUUUGAUUAAAGAUUUAUCGGACAGGGAUGGCCAUGCGUACCAUUAGCUGGUUGGUGGGGUAACGGCCCACCAAGGCAACGAUGGUUAGGGGCCCUGAGAGGGGGAUCCCCCACACUGGUACUGAGACACGGACCAGACUCCUACGGGAGGCAGCAGUGAGGAAUAUUGGACAAUGGCCGGAAGGUUGAUCCAGCCAUGCCGCGUGCAGGAUGACUGCCCUAUGGGUUGUAAACUGCUUUUACAUGGGAAGAAACCUCCCCUCGUGAGGGGAGCUGACGGUACCAUGAGAAUAAGGACCGGCUAACUCCGUGCCAGCAGCCGCGGUAAUACGGAGGGUCCGAGCGUUAUCCGGAAUCAUUGGGUUUAAAGGGUCCGUAGGCGGGCCUGUAAGUCAGGGGUGAAAGGCCACGGCUCAACCGUGGGACUGCCCUUGAUACUGCAGGUCUUGAGUUAUAGUGGGGUUGCCGGAACAUGUGGUGUAGCGGUGAAAUGCAUAGAUAUCACAUAGAACACCGAUCGCGAAGGCAGGUGACCAACUAUAUACUGACGCUGAUGGACGAAAGCGUGGGUAGCGAACGGGAUUAGAUACCCCGGUAGUCCACGCCGUAAACGAUGGAUACUAGCUGUCGGGCCUUCGGGCUCGGCGGCCAAGCGAAAGUGAUAAGUAUCCCACCUGGGGAGUACGUUCGCAAGAAUGAAACUCAAAGGAAUUGACGGGGCCCGCACAAGCGGUGGAGCAUGUGGUUUAAUUCGAUGAUACGCGAG